CGUCCGAUAACGCUCCUGCCUGUGUUCUCUCUGUCAAGGAGUGCAAAAGCUUCGGUCACAGCGGAGUCCGGGGCAUCACAAGGGAAGAAGCCCACAGCCAAAGUAGCAGUCGUAGCUGGUCUAAAAAUAUGUCCCCAACAUGAAGAAAGGUCAGAAGAAGAGAAAGCCCCAUCAAUAUCCAUAAUAUAAUUGAAAUUAAAAAUAUUACAUUAAUGAGAGAGAUCCAAACUCUUCACUAACCCAUUGACGGAGGGAAAUGAAUCAUUCAAUACGAAUGACGUUUCACCAUCGUCGGAAAGCUACUGUGGGAACUUAGACUUGCGCCUGAGCUGGCUUCCAGACCAAAAGCCCUACUAUAAUUCAUGAAAGAAACGAUAACUUUAGACACCAUACAAACCGAACACCCAAGUACUAAACAUAGGGAAUAACUGAUCCACAGAAAUAGGCAGAAGAUAAGAGGAAGUGAAACACAUCAACAGAUGGCCUAAACCAGCAUGUUCUCUUUUUUUAACUUACUUUUUUCUACAAUAUUAAUACAAGAUGCUUUUAGGUAGACCCGAAUUUGUGACUACCAUUACGUUAAUACCAGAUGCUCUUACAUGGAAACAAAUAGGAGAUCUUAUCGACCAUGCAACAACAUGACAAAUCAUUAUGAUGGUUCAACCAAAAACAUUUGAUAUGUCAGUUACGAGUGCAUAUACACACGAAAAAGGGAACACAGAAAUCGGCUGAAAAGUCAUUUGUAAGAUACUACAUGGAUUCUCAACGAAAAGUCAUACCUUUGCAUGAAAAUGGUAAAGGCACUUGUGAUUAUGACGGGUAAUAUCAAUCAGAAACCAUAUUGUACAUACAGAUUUCUUUUCUGGUGGGUGAUUAGAGUAGUGCAAGAGAAUAAUUAUUAAGUGGUUUCGACAUGUCCACGUUUAGUUAAAUGCAUUUGUAAAGGAUGAGAGAGGGAAGAUAUAAAAAAGACCUUAUCACUACAUGGGAGAUACCUUCCUUGGAUCUCAAGACUUCACAUUCAAGAGAGCGAGAUGGCAGAAUAAGCUCCAU
Molecule: long non-coding RNA, 1053 nt
Filed under: Musa acuminata (dwarf banana)
Lineage: Eukaryota; Viridiplantae; Streptophyta; Magnoliopsida; Zingiberales; Musaceae
Description: long non-coding RNA (MACU_LNC001922)
Source: RNAcentral